This 497-nucleotide ribosomal RNA is filed under the name uncultured bacterium. RNAcentral's name for it is "partial 16S ribosomal RNA". It matches the Rfam family "Bacterial small subunit ribosomal RNA", at positions 28 to 507 of the family's 1533-position model. The record is from RNAcentral.
GAUGAACGCUGGCGGCGUGCCUAAUACAUGCAAGUCGAGCGAACAGACGAGGAGCUUGCUCCUCUGACGUUAGCGGCGGACGGGUGAGUAACAAGUGGAUAAACUACCUAUAAGACCGGGAUAACUUCGGGAAACCGGAGCUAAUACCGGAUAAUAUAUUUAACCGCAUGGUUCAAUAGUGAAAGACGGUUUUGCUGUAACUUAUAGAUGGAUCCGCGCCGCAUUAGCUAGUAGGUAAGGUAACGGCUUACCAAGGCGAAGAUGGGUACCCGACCUGAGAGGGUGAUCGGCCACACUGGAACUGAGACACGGUCCAGACACCUACGGGAGGCCGCAGUAGGGAAUCUUCCGCAAUGGGCGAAAGCCUGACGGAGCAACGCCGCGUGAGUGAUGAUGGUCUUCGGAUCGUAAAACUCUGUUAUUAGGGAAGAACAAAUGUUUAAGUAACUAUGCACGUCUUGACGGUACCUAAUCAGAAAGCCACGGCUAACUACGUG